Molecule: ribosomal RNA, 253 nt
Filed under: uncultured bacterium
Lineage: Bacteria
Description: partial 16S ribosomal RNA
Rfam family: Bacterial small subunit ribosomal RNA
Source: RNAcentral
UACGUAGGGGGCAAGCGUUGUCCGGAAUCAUUGGGCGUAAAGAGCUCGUAGGCGGCUUGUCGCGUCGGAUGUGAAAGCCCGGGGCUUAACUCCGGGUCUGCAUUCGAUACGGGCAGGCUAGAGUUCGGUAGGGGAGAUCGGAAUUCCUGGUGUAGCGGUGAAAUGCGCAGAUAUCAGGAGGAACACCAAUGGCGAAGGCAGCUUGCUGGGCAUUUUCUGACGCUAAGGCACGAAAGCGUGGGGAGCGAACAGG